AAUCCAUGAUGAGGGCAAUAUCUUUAUAGACUCUUGAAUCUAUCCCACGCUUUAAAUAGUGAUUCUUCAUCUGCCUGAGCAAAAUUUGUAAUACAAUUCCUCAUAUA
Molecule: small nucleolar RNA, 107 nt
Organism: Zingiber officinale
Lineage: Eukaryota; Viridiplantae; Streptophyta; Magnoliopsida; Zingiberales; Zingiberaceae
Source: RefSeq, a predicted model, not a curated record